This 433-nucleotide ribosomal RNA is filed under the name uncultured bacterium. Its description in RNAcentral is "partial 16S ribosomal RNA". It matches the Rfam family "Bacterial small subunit ribosomal RNA", at positions 29 to 507 of the family's 1533-position model. The record is from RNAcentral.
AACGAACGCUGGCGGCAUGCCUAACACAUGCAAGUCGAACGAGACCGUCGGGUCUAGUGGCGCACGGGUGCGUAACGCGUGGGAACCUGCCCUUAGGUUCGGAAUAACUCCCCGAAAGGGGUGCUAAUACCGGAUAAUGUCUUCGGACCAAAGAUUUAUCGCCUUUGGAUGGGCCCGCGUUGGAUUAGCUAGUUGGUAGGGUAAAAGCCUACCAAGGCGACGAUCCAUAGCUGGUCUGAGAGGAUGAUCAGCCACACUGGGACUGAGACACGGCCCAGACUCCUACGGGAGGCAGCAGUGGGGAAUAUUGGACAAUGGGCGAAAGCCUGAUCCAGCAAUGCCGCGUGAGUGAUGAAGGCCUUAGGGUUGUAAAGCUCUUUUACCCGGGAUGAUAAUGACAGUACCGGGAGAAUAAGCUCCGGCUAACUCCGUG